UGCCAGCCGCCGCGAUAACACGGAGGGGGCAAGCGUUGUUCGGAAUGACUGGGCGUAAAGGGCGCGUAGGCGGAUCGUCAAGUCAGAGGUGAAAGCCCCGGGCUCAACCCGGGAGGUGCCUUUGAAACUGACGGUCUUGAGUACGGGAGAGGUGAGCGGAACUCCCAGUGUAGAGGUGAAAUUCGUAGAUAUUGGGAAGAACACCAGUGGCGAAAGCGACUUUCUGGCUAUUUUCUGACGCUGAGGAGCGAAAGCGUGGGGAGCAAACAGGAUUAGAUA
RNAcentral lists this ribosomal RNA (279 nucleotides) under uncultured bacterium. RNAcentral describes it as "partial 16S ribosomal RNA". It matches the Rfam family "Bacterial small subunit ribosomal RNA", at positions 506 to 784 of the family's 1533-position model. The record is from RNAcentral.